UACGUAGGGGGCAAGCGUUGUCCGGAUUUAUUGGGCGUAAAGAGCGUGUAGGCGGCUUUGCAAGUCCGUUGUGAAAACUCGAGGCUCAACCUCGAGACGCCGGUGGAAACUGCAAAGCUAGAGUCCGGAAGAGGAGAGUGGAAUUCCUGGUGUAGCAGUGAAAUGCGCAGAUAUCGGGAAGAACACCCGUGGCGAAGGCGGCUCUCUGGGACGGUACUGACGCUGAGACGCGAAAGCGUGGGGAGCGAACAGG
RNAcentral lists this ribosomal RNA (253 nucleotides) under uncultured bacterium. RNAcentral describes it as "partial 16S ribosomal RNA". It matches the Rfam family "Bacterial small subunit ribosomal RNA", at positions 524 to 776 of the family's 1533-position model. The record is from RNAcentral.